Schistosoma mansoni is the source of this 45-nucleotide non-coding RNA. The record is from Rfam. NCBI's taxonomy places the organism in Eukaryota, Metazoa, Platyhelminthes, Trematoda, Strigeidida, Schistosomatidae.
ACCCAGCUGAUGAGUCCUAAACGGGACGAAACGUGUGUCCUGGAU